GUGGAUUAGAUACCCUGGUAGUCCACGCCCUAAACGAUGAAUACUCGCUGUUAGCGAUAUACAGUUAGCGGCUAAGCGAAAGCGUUAAGUAUUCCACCUGGGGAGUACGCCCGCAAGGGUGAAACUCAAAGGAAUUGACGGGGGCCCGCACAAGCGGAGGAGCAUGUGGUUUAAUUCGAUGAUACGCGAGGAACCUUACCCGGGCUUGAAAGUUACUGAAUAACUCAGAGAUGAGUUAGUCCUUCGGGACAGGAAACUAGGUGCUGCACGGCCGUCGUCAACU
This 283-nucleotide ribosomal RNA is filed under the name uncultured bacterium. Its description in RNAcentral is "partial 16S ribosomal RNA". It matches the Rfam family "Bacterial small subunit ribosomal RNA", at positions 773 to 1060 of the family's 1533-position model. The record is from RNAcentral.